RNAcentral lists this ribosomal RNA (253 nucleotides) under uncultured bacterium. RNAcentral describes it as "partial 16S ribosomal RNA". It matches the Rfam family "Bacterial small subunit ribosomal RNA", at positions 524 to 776 of the family's 1533-position model. The record is from RNAcentral.
UACGAAGGGGGCUAGCGUUGCUCGGAAUCACUGGGCGUAAAGGGUGCGUAGGCGGGUCUUUAAGUCAGGGGUGAAAUCCUGGAGCUCAACUCCAGAACUGCCUUUGAUACUGAGGAUCUUGAGUUCGGGAGAGGUGAGUGGAACUGCGAGUGUAGAGGUGAAAUUCGUAGAUAUUCGCAAGAACACCAGGGGCGAAGGCGGCUCACUGGCCCGAUACUGACGCUGAGGCACGAAAGCGUGGGGAGCAAACAGG